This is a long non-coding RNA of Vidua chalybeata, 583 nucleotides long. RefSeq lists it as uncharacterized. NCBI's taxonomy places the organism in Eukaryota, Metazoa, Chordata, Aves, Passeriformes, Viduidae. The transcript is spliced from 2 exons. The record is from RefSeq and is a predicted model, not a curated record.
UUGAGCUGCACUUCCAGCCUGGAUGAGUGUACAAUUAUGAUUUUAGUGGUGACUAAGUUACUUCAUUCUUAUACUUUUUUAUAGCUCUGGCAGAACAUCAUCUAAUUGUAAAGGAGUUCAUGUUACCUAUUCUGUCAACCCAGCACCCUUUGCAUGAGCCAUUUGUGAAGGGCUCACACAGAGGGUAAUGGCAGUGGGAGCAGAUGGAAUCCCAGGAAACAAAAAUACGAUUCUCAUAUGAACCCGUCUCCAAAAAGAAUGCAAAGAAAAUAUAUUCAAUGCAAACACUCUUUCAGUGAAACCUUAUGGUCAUAAAGUAAAAAGGCACAAAACUCAGAAGUUUCAGCACUAGGCUUUUGUGGUUUUGUUGCAUUUUUUCAUUAAACUUUUAGCUUUUGUGUCUGUCUCCCAUCCUGAUUUGCCACAGUGGAUCUGAGUUAAUGUCUGAGGUAAAAGUUUGUAUUCUAAAUUUCUGACACAGAGACACAUCUAUUAAGCACCAUGGCUUAAGUUUGCAAACUAUGAGCACAAGUAUGUUAAAAAAACCAAAAAAACUGAAAUUAAAUUUCUCUGUGAACACUGA